This 517-nucleotide unclassified non-coding RNA is filed under the name uncultured Glomus. RNAcentral's name for it is "SSU rRNA". It matches the Rfam family "Eukaryotic small subunit ribosomal RNA", at positions 569 to 1090 of the family's 1831-position model. Lineage: Eukaryota; Fungi; Glomeromycota; Glomeromycetes; Glomerales; Glomeraceae. The record is from RNAcentral.
AGCAGCCGCGGUAAUUCCAGCUCCAAUAGCGUAUAUUAAAGUUGCUGCAGUUAAAAAGCUCGUAGUUGAAUUUCGGGAUCAAUAUGUUGGUCGUGCCUCGGUACGUACUAGCUUAUUGGUUUCUCCCUUCUGACGAACCAUGAUGUCAUUUAUUUGGUGUUAUGGGAAAUCAGGACUGUUACUUUGAAAAAUUAGAGUGUUUAAAGCAGGCUCACGCUUGAAUACAUUAGCAUGGAAUAAUGAAAUAGGACGUUUGAUUCUAUUUUGUUGGUUUCUAGGAUCGACGUAAUGAUUAAUAGGGAUAGUUGGGGGCAUUAGUAUUCAAUUGUCAGAGGUGAAAUUCUUGGAUUUAUUGAAGACUAACUACUGCGAAAGCAUUUGCCAAGGAUGUUUUCAUUAAUCAAGAACGAAAGUUAGGGGAUCGAAGACGAUCAGAUACCGUCGUAGUCUUAAACCAUAAAACUAUGCCGACUAGGGAUCGGAUGAUGUUAAUUUUAAUGACUCAUUCGGCUACCCG